RNAcentral lists this RNase P RNA (315 nucleotides) under Cruoricaptor ignavus. Its description in RNAcentral is "Bacterial RNase P class A". It matches the Rfam family "Bacterial RNase P class A". From Rfam's summary of the family: Ribonuclease P (RNase P) is a ubiquitous endoribonuclease, found in archaea, bacteria and eukarya as well as chloroplasts and mitochondria. Lineage: Bacteria; Pseudomonadati; Bacteroidota; Flavobacteriia; Flavobacteriales; Weeksellaceae. The record is from Rfam by way of RNAcentral.
CGAGAAUUUCGGCCUGCCGAACUUUUUCCAAAAAAGUUAGGAAAGUCCGGACACCAAAGAGCGGCAUAGCGGGUAAUGCCCGUCCACAGCGAUGUGAGGACCAGUGCAACAGAAAGCAGGUACAGGUAAGGCUGUAGUGAAAUCCGGUAAACUCUAUGCGGUGCAAUGCCAAGUAUAUCAUCUGCUAAGGCCUGCUCGGCCAAAGAUGAGGGGUAGGCAGCUAAAGCCGCGCAGCAAUGCACGGCUCAGAUAAAUGGCAGGCACAGGUUUUAUUUUUUUCCUGUACAGAAUCCGGCUUACAGAUUUUCUCGUGGU